UGCAACCCUAAUGCACAGAUAGCUGACAUCAACUUCCGUCAGGCAGCUCCUGGAGAUCGAACCUUUCGAUUGUAACUGGGACAAUUUGCAUAGUGAUUCCCUUUCAGAGCUUUCCCGGGUCCAUAACUAGCCCAGGCAGCUAUUCAAAUGCAAGUUGCAUCCCCCAAAUGCAAGGCUGGCCUGACCAAAAAGAGCCACACGGCGCCGGGAGAGGCGAGACUCGCGCCACGGUUCUCAUCCUUCUCUUUUCUCCUUCCUUCUCCCUUUCUCUUCUCCGGUUCCUGAUUUAGCUGGGAGCUAUUUAUUUAUGACUACAAAUGUGUGUGCGCGAGCCAGAGAGAGAGGGAGGGAACUGAUCUUUGCUUGGACUUAAAGAUGGAGACGAAGGAGCCGGAGGGAAUUGGGGUCUGUGUGUCUGGCUCAGACCCUAGGCGCUGAGGGGGGCCGCUGGGCAUCAAGCCCAAGGUCUUUCUUCCCGGCGCCCCGUAUUCCGCGACCUGGCAGGAAUCCGUGGGCCAAAGAGCGCCCCGGCUGAUCCGCCUGCCCCGGGCCGGGCUACAAGGAAAGUCUUGGAGCAGGGGGCCGUCCCGUCCCUGUCUUUAAAAUGAGCGCAAUAAAAGGGGCAAAUCCUCGAACGCGAACCUGAUCGCAUGUCACAGAAGCAACUUGCCAUGAAAUCCGCUAAUGCGCCGCGACUCGCCCACCAGGGGCCGGGCACUUCCUCAGCAAAGCAUUGGAGGCCUUCAAGCCGGGCAUGGCGCACUGCUGUCCUGCCUACAUACAGAUACCGGCCCACACGUGUUAGGCCUGAAAAAGACACCGGACCGGGAGGAAAACUCAGGAACAGCUAUUCAGGAGCGCCUGGAGACUCUCCUGCCUGGACCCUUGGACCUUGGGAGCGGGCCGGCCCAGAGAACCUCAGAGAAGACAGUUCCCCUCCCCCUCUACUCCCCACCUUCCCCCUCCCCCCUCACAACAGCUGUGCUUUUGGGGCGCUCGGCUCCUGCCAGUCCACAGGUCCUACGUCCCUGCCCAGCAUUGGCGCGUUAGAGAUCAGUCUGUGUACUCCCAGCUUUUCCUCCUAACCCCACUCCCGAGCCCUGGGUCACCGCAUUUAUGCCACAAGACCCCGAAAAGCUCUCAUGCACAAAAACUAAAGGACUCUAACAUGAUCCCUCGAGUAUCGGGCUAGUUCAGGAAGGAGCAAGCCGAGCAGGGGUCUGGGGAAAAUACAACUGGACGCUUGGAGACUCCAUAAUCCUACGCCUGAACGGCUCUCAGGCCAAAGGGCAGGUGCACUUGCCCUGAGCCCCGGGUCCGAAACGCGGGGGCUGGUUCUUGUGCCAGCCAGAGGCGGAGGGAAGCAGAGGAGGUGGCCAAGAAGCGGAAGGCCGACAGGGUGGGAAGGGCAAGAAAAGAAGGUAAAGUAUCAGAAGGCAAGUGUGAGAGAUGAAGCGGGAAGGGAAAAGACUUGGGAGAAAGCAAGAAAAGGCCGGGAUCCAGGCCCAGCAGGCCCCAGGAGAGAGACCCAGGCAAGGGGUGAGGAAACCAGAACACCAGCGUUUUAUUUUUAAAUCUUCUAGGUGUCUGCGGGUCAAAUAAAGACAAGGGCGGUAACGAUUAUUCUGUUAAAUCUAUGGUACUUGACUGCGCAAACACUAAUUGAUUAGACACCAAAAUGAUUUGUUUAAAGAGUUUUCCUUCCCAAGUGCAGCUGCUCUCAGGUCCAGGUCGGCGUUACCCCGCGAGACUGCGGAGGAGUUCGCCAAGUGGGCCCGGCGCCCGGCCGCCCAGCCCGCAAUCCGUGUAGGGUCGGGCGGCUGGUCCACGCUCCAUAGGCCUGAGGGUACAGGCUGGGCGGCAUCCCGUGACUUCUGCUCUUAGGGACCACCCCGAAGGGAUUUUGCUACACCCGCCUCCUCUAAAUUGCACCGAGGAGGAACCCCUCUCUUCCCGCUCUCCUUUCCAGUCCUCAGCCUUGGAAAUCAACACCUGCCCCUGGUUAAUUCGGCGUACUGUCCCCCAAAAGUGGAAGCAUCGAAAGAACAGCAUUUCUGGCAGUCUAAAGCCUGGAAAAUUCACCGCCCCGGAGGCGUGGGUAGGUUCCCUUUGUAAUAUUCUUCAACGAGGUAAAGUGACCAAGAAAGAAAACCCGUGAAGGGUUGAUGGUUGGCCAACUUCCCCAGAAUCGCGCCGGUUGCGACUAGCACGGUCCUGUGGCCAGAGAGUCAUCUAGGAACCUGGACCCCCUCCUUCAUGCUCCACCCACUCUUCCUUCAGCGCUCUUGGUUCGAAGCCUUGCAAAGCUCUCGCCAGAGUGGAUGACUGCCGGAACGGAUUUCAACCCAGGUGAAGCUGCCUCCAGUUCAGCUAGGGAACCUAGAAAGGGGAGCGGUUUGCUUCCUCCACCAGGAGGUAACAGACACACCAGGAGUGGUCUGAAGUUCCAGGAUGGCCACUCAGGUGGCUCUUGGUAGGUCCGGAAUUUCUAGGGUUGGCAUGAGCCGACAGCCUUUCAGCAGAGUAUCCUCUCUUUGAGAUUUGGAGUUACGAAUAGAGUAAGAUGAAACAAAGAAAACUGCGAAAAUGCCGAAUUUUUAAAAAUUCACGCGUGAAAACCGAAUUUAAGAAGGAAAAAGUGAGGGAGACGUUAACGAAAAGGUGAAUAAAAACUAUAGACAAAAAGAUGAUCAAAGAUUGAAAAAGAAGCCCAGGAUAAUUGGUAACUUCCUUGUCCCAGAGUGAAGGUCACUAUUUUUUUUUCUUCUCAAUAUUGGAAAUUGAACCCAGGGCCCGGAACCUAGUAUAUUUCUAUAACUGAGCUACACCCUCAGCCCAGUAACUUGGUUUUUGUGUUUUAAAAAAUUAUUUUCAAUAGCAAAUCACCAAUCUAGUCCCUUCUAUGUUUCUUGAUAAUUCUAUUCUAAGCCAAUAGUAAUUUUCUGAAUGAAAUUUCUCCAGAGAUGGGAGGACUCCCGAGGAAGACAGGAGAGCCCAAUGGGAAGCACCCAGGAUCAAAUCCUUCACCCCCAGCUAUCAAGUGCUUUACUGUAGUUAGAUAUCAAGGAAAUGGUUCCACACCAGCAGUUUAAUUCUAGACUGAAUGUAGUCAUCUGAAAUGAUGAUGAAUUCCAUUCUGAGGCUCUAGCCAAGGAGUGGGUCUUCCCCUGGGACCUUGGAGAUAUUUGCUCUGACACCCAAAAAAAAAAAAAAAUGAAAAGUACAUGUUUGAUGGCUCAGGGGGUCUAGAAACAUUUAUUUGGAAUGAUCCUGAAGACUGGGAAAUAACCCUGUAUUACACCUCUACUACUCACAAAGAAAAAUAAAGUAUUAACUUUGAAACCAAUAGGAGCUUCUAAGAGAACUUUGUGUGGUCAGCAUUUCGAAAAAUGGGCCUCUGCUUUUAAUUUUUUAAGCCUGAUGGGGUUGCCUGGAGGGUUGCCUGGCAAGCUGUAGAGCAUCCAGCAUGAGAGUGUACCUGCUCGUCCCAACCCCCCAGGCUCUUCUUCUGACAUUUACAAAAUAAAUAUUUUGAAAUCCUGGUUUCC
Molecule: long non-coding RNA, 3548 nt
Filed under: Ictidomys tridecemlineatus (thirteen-lined ground squirrel)
Lineage: Eukaryota; Metazoa; Chordata; Mammalia; Rodentia; Sciuridae
Description: lncRNA (ENSSTOG00000031289.1)
Source: RNAcentral